Molecule: small RNA, 713 nt
Filed under: Rattus norvegicus (Norway rat)
Lineage: Eukaryota; Metazoa; Chordata; Mammalia; Rodentia; Muridae
Description: uncharacterized LOC102547123
Source: RNAcentral
GGAGAUGUUCAGAUCUGUAGACUGCAGGGAACUGUGUGCUUAUGCCAUGAUUGUGAUGUCAGAGAAGAUAAUGAAGACUCAGAAGAAUGGGGGAAUCAGCCCAGGGGUCAAGGGACCCAAGGACAGGGAAGAAUCAGGAAUUUUCUGAGGUCAGGGUCAUAGAGGUAUCCGUCUAGAAGAUGGUGAGUGGUGAGUAAAGAGUGGGAUCCUCAACACGAGAUUUGAGGUGCCAGCAAGGAGACCCACAAGCUGCUGAAGAAGACUAAAGGAGGACCCUAGGAGCACAAGGAGCAUCUGAGCCUGCCAUCCACAGGAAGUAUGAGGACAUGGCUCAUUUUGGUAUAGGCACAACAGAUCCUCUCAGAAGCCUCCUGUUUAGAGAAACCUGCAUGGCCAUCCCUUCCUGUGACUGACUCCAUCCAUCGCUGAUUGGUUCCUUGUUUUCUGCAAAGAGUGUGAAAAUGCUCAGCUGGCUGGGCUGGCCGGCCAAUGAAAUGCAAAGAUGGGCCUGUAUCAGCCCAACAGGAGAGUUGGAGUGUCUUAUGUGCCUGAAGUCGGCUUCUGCAUCUUGCUCUGUAUCUUAUUUCUCCUCGAUCCCGGGAUACAAGAACAACUGGUAUCCUGUAAAGCAGAAAAGAAGCCAAGAACAGAGAACAGAGUCAAUGGAAGGGAACAAAGGGACUUUGUGAUUUUGAUUUUAAUUAUACUGACUC